Molecule: transfer RNA, 87 nt
Filed under: Methanomassiliicoccales archaeon
Lineage: Archaea; Methanobacteriati; Thermoplasmatota; Thermoplasmata; Methanomassiliicoccales
Also listed under: 2 other names
Description: tRNA-Leu
Rfam family: tRNA
About the family: Transfer RNA (tRNA) molecules are approximately 80 nucleotides in length. Their secondary structure includes four short double-helical elements and three loops (D, anti-codon, and T loops). Further hydrogen bonds mediate the characteristic L-shaped molecular structure. tRNAs have two regions of fundamental functional importance: the anti-codon, which is responsible for specific mRNA codon recognition, and the 3' end, to which the tRNAs corresponding amino acid is attached (by aminoacyl-tRNA synthetases). tRNAs cope with the degeneracy of the genetic code in two manners: having more than one tRNA (with a specific anti-codon) for a particular amino acid; and 'wobble' base-pairing, i.e. permitting non-standard base-pairing at the 3rd anti-codon position.
Source: RNAcentral
GCGAGAGUAGCCGAGUUGGCCAAAGGCGCAGGACUUAAGAUUCUGUCUUGUAGAAGUUCGAGGGUUCGAAUCCCUUCUCUCGCACCA